UGGGAUAUGGUGUAAUGGUAACACAUAAGACUUUGACUCUUAUAACUCAGGUUCGAAUCCUGAUAUCCUAG
Molecule: transfer RNA, 71 nt
Filed under: Mediterraneibacter hominis
Lineage: Bacteria; Bacillati; Bacillota; Clostridia; Lachnospirales; Lachnospiraceae
Rfam family: tRNA
About the family: Transfer RNA (tRNA) molecules are approximately 80 nucleotides in length. Their secondary structure includes four short double-helical elements and three loops (D, anti-codon, and T loops). Further hydrogen bonds mediate the characteristic L-shaped molecular structure. tRNAs have two regions of fundamental functional importance: the anti-codon, which is responsible for specific mRNA codon recognition, and the 3' end, to which the tRNAs corresponding amino acid is attached (by aminoacyl-tRNA synthetases). tRNAs cope with the degeneracy of the genetic code in two manners: having more than one tRNA (with a specific anti-codon) for a particular amino acid; and 'wobble' base-pairing, i.e. permitting non-standard base-pairing at the 3rd anti-codon position.
Source: Rfam by way of RNAcentral